UAGGGAAUCUUCCACAAUGGACGCAAGUCUGAUGGAGCAACGCCGCGUGAGUGAAGAAGGUUUUCGGACCGUAAAGCUCUGUUGUUGGUGAAGAAGGAUAGAGGUAGUAACUGGCCUUUAUUUGACGGUAAUCAACCAGAAAGUCACGGCUAACUACGUGCCAGCAGCCGCGGUAAUCGUAGGUGGCAAGCGUUGUCCGGAUUUAUUGGGCGUAAAGCGAGCGCAGGCGGAAGAAUAAGUCUGAUGUGAAAGCCCUCGGCUUAACCGAGGAAUUGCAUCGGAAACUGUUUUCUUGAGUGCAGAAGAGGAGAGUAGAACUCCAUGUGUAGCGGUGGAACGCGUAGAUAUAUGGAAGAAUACCAGUGGCGAAGGCGGCUCUCUGGUCUGCAACUGACGCUGAGGCUCGAAAGCAUGGGUAGCGAACAGGAUUAGAUACCCUGGUAGUCCAUGCCGUAAACGAUGAGUGCUAAGUG
Molecule: ribosomal RNA, 473 nt
Filed under: uncultured bacterium
Lineage: Bacteria
Description: partial 16S ribosomal RNA
Rfam family: Bacterial small subunit ribosomal RNA
Source: RNAcentral